Molecule: ribosomal RNA, 229 nt
Filed under: uncultured bacterium
Lineage: Bacteria
Description: partial 16S ribosomal RNA
Rfam family: Bacterial small subunit ribosomal RNA
Source: RNAcentral
UGCGCAGGUGGGGGUGUAAGUCAGUGGUGAAAUGUUGCCGCUCAACGGUAAAAUUGCCAUUGAUACUGCAUCUCUUGAGUAUGGUUGAGGUAGGCGGUAUGUGUUGUGUAGCGGUGAAAUGCAUAGAUAUGACACAGAACACCGAUUGCGAAGGCAGCUUACUAAGCCAUUACUGACGCUGAGGCACGAAAGCGUGGGGAGCGAACAGGAUUAGAUACCCUGGUAGUCC